This is a long non-coding RNA of Talpa occidentalis (Iberian mole), 1335 nucleotides long. RefSeq lists it as uncharacterized. The record is from RefSeq and is a predicted model, not a curated record. NCBI's taxonomy places the organism in Eukaryota, Metazoa, Chordata, Mammalia, Eulipotyphla, Talpidae. The transcript is spliced from 3 exons.
CAUCUGUCUGAGCAGGAAGUCCAGGGAAGGGGACCCAGGAAGUGACAUCACCUCCACGAGAUGACAGGGCACACAUGACCUCGGAACCCUGGUCCCCAGGCAGUUGGUUCUGAACCAAACCUGACCCAGCUCACUUGCCUGGUGGGCCUGGACCCGGCCCCACGUUUUCUUGCUGUUUGCCCAGGUCUCCCCGCAGUGGACCCAAAAAAGGUCCACGAAACUCGUGUCACACUCUGCCGAAAGGCAUGAGGAGCCUGUGCGUACGCCUCGGGCCAGCACCAGCACUGCCCCUGAGGUAACUAGGGGGGCCCUGGGGACAGGUCAGACCACGCCAGGGCUCUGAUGCCCCCACCCCUCCCUUCCCCCUGUGAGUGCGGGUGUGCGUGCGGUGAGAGUGAGUGUGUGCGUGCUCCAGGAAGGAGGGUCUGGCCCACCCAGGAGUCUGCUCAUGUCUACACCAGAACCAGCCUGGCUGGUGGUGGGACCCAAACCGUCAUGGCUGCUCCCUCUUGCCCCAGCUGGUUGCUACCCAGCAGGUGCGUCUGUUUACUCCCAGGAGGUCUUUUGUGUCCAGGAAGGUGAAGAGAUCCAGAGAGUGCAAUUCCCCGACUGUCCUCCCACAGCCCAGUGUGGGAUCUGUCCCAGCACAGAGCCCAGGUUGAAGUGCACCUGCAACUUUGAGAUUGGGGCACAUGUCCAAAGGAACUGGCUGCAGUACCCGAAAUCCCUGGAGGAGCCGUCCGAGGGACGUGACUUCCAUGACCGUCCUUGGACAACCUGCUGACCAUGCUGCAGGCCACUCUUGGCUGGAGCCUGCAGCCUGCAUGGGGCAGUCCCGAUGCCAGUGCACAUGGCGGGGAGCCUAGCGGCAGCUGGCUUUUGCUCUCCUCCCCACCCAUGCACCCUGGGCUCUUGAAACAGAAGAGGGUGCUCUCCAGACCACGGACCAGCCAUCAGUCUUGGAUUCUGAAAAAAUCCUACUCUCAAAUGGCAGCAUAUUUGCAGCACAAGAAUGAGAAUCUGAGAAUAAGAAGCCUUUCCUGGUUCCUGAGCCACAGCUUAUUGUCUUUAUGUGAUAUGGCUUCUCAAGGACAUAAAAAAAUUCCCUCAAACAAAAGCCAAUGGUUUAUUUAUAUAAAGUAGAGGCAAUGAGCUCAUGAAUGCAUGCAUUUGCUUAUUAUUCUUCCUCGCAGAGGAGAUGGAUGGAUGACUCUAUUUAUCUCUCUGUCUACACAUCUCUCUCUCUCCAUAUGCAAAGAAAAGUGGUUUAAGUUGAGGAAAUCAGUGAGUAAUGAUAGGAGGACUUGGUUGAGAUGUGGGAAACUGAAGACUUAG